CCCACUUAAUUUAAGCAUGUUAGUCAGCGGAGGAAAAAAAAAACUAAUCAGGAUUCCCAAAGUAAUGGCGACUGAACGGGGAAGAGUCCAGCACUGAAUUCCCGUCCUGCGGUGGGGCAAAGGAAAUGUGGCGUAUAGAAGACCCAAUCCCUGGUGCGGCUCUCGGGUAUUCGAGUCCUUCUGAUCAAGACACAGCCUGUGGGCAGUGUGAGGCCGGUAGUAGCCCCAGCAUACUGGGACCGGGUCUUCUUGGAGUCGGGUUGCUUGGGAAUGUAGCCCAAAGUAGGUGGUAACCUCCAUCUACAGCUAAUUACUGUCACGAGACCGUUAGUCAACAAGUACCACAAGGGAAAGUUGAAAAGAACUUUGAAGAUAGAGUUCAAGAGUGUGUGAAACCAUUAAGAGGUAAACGGGUGGGAUCCGCGCAGUCUGCCUGGAGGAUUAAACCUGGUGGGUUUGGUAAGCUG
Molecule: non-coding RNA, 467 nt
Filed under: Chelonia mydas (Green sea turtle)
Lineage: Eukaryota; Metazoa; Chordata; Testudines; Cheloniidae
Description: Eukaryotic large subunit ribosomal RNA
Rfam family: Eukaryotic large subunit ribosomal RNA
Source: Rfam by way of RNAcentral